ACUCAAAGGAAUAGACGGGGGUCCGCACAAGCGGUGGAACAUGUGGUUUAAUUCGACACUACGCGAGGAACCUUACCUGGGUUUGACAUGUAACUGCUACUGAUAGAGAUAUUGGGUUUCGUAGAAAUACGAACGGUUACACAGGUGCUGCAUGGCUGUCGUCAGCUCGUGUCGUGAGACGUCGGGUUAAGUCCUUGAACGAGCGCAACCCUUGCCGUUAGUUGCCAGUCGUAAGACGGCACUCUAACGGGACUGCCGUGGAAACACGGAGGAAGGUGGGGAUGACGUCAAGUCCGCAUGGCCCUUAUGUCCAGGGCGACACACGUGUUACAAUGGCGAAGAACAAUGGGGAGCGAAGUCGCGAGAUGGAGCAAAUCCUUUAAAAUUCGUCUAAGUUCAGAUUGUAGUCUGCAACUCGACUACAUGAAGUUGAAAUCGCUAGUAAUCGCAUAUCAGAACGAUGCGGUGAAUACGUUCUCGGACCUUGUACACACCGCCCGU
This 501-nucleotide ribosomal RNA is filed under the name uncultured bacterium. RNAcentral describes it as "partial 16S ribosomal RNA". It matches the Rfam family "Bacterial small subunit ribosomal RNA", at positions 899 to 1397 of the family's 1533-position model. The record is from RNAcentral.